This 515-nucleotide ribosomal RNA is filed under the name bacterium enrichment culture clone ALO1_GLFRUDD03F4T4D. RNAcentral describes it as "bacterial SSU rRNA". It matches the Rfam family "Bacterial small subunit ribosomal RNA", at positions 9 to 517 of the family's 1533-position model. The record is from RNAcentral.
GAGUUUGAUCAUGGCUCAGAUUGAACGCUGGCGGCAGGCCUAACACAUGCAAGUCGAGCGGAUGACGGGAGCUUGCUCCUUGAUUCAGCGGCGGACGGGUGAGUAAUGCCUAGGAAUCUGCCUGGUAGUGGGGGACAACGUUUCGAAAGGAACGCUAAUACCGCAUACGUCCUACGGGAGAAAGCAGGGGACCUUCGGGCCUUGCGCUAUCAGAUGAGCCUAGGUCGGAUUAGCUAGUUGGUGGGGUAAUGGCUCACCAAGGCGACGAUCCGUAACUGGUCUGAGAGGAUGAUCAGUCACACUGGAACUGAGACACGGUCCAGACUCCUACGGGAGGCAGCAGUGGGGAAUAUUGGACAAUGGGCGAAAGCCUGAUCCAGCCAUGCCGCGUGUGUGAAGAAGGUCUUCGGAUUGUAAAGCACUUUAAGUUGGGAGGAAGGGCAGUAAGUUAAUACCUUGCUGUUUUGACGUUUACCGACACGAAUAAGCACCGGCUAACUCUGUGCCAGCCGCCG